ACGUGGACAAAAUGCAGUAGCAACCGAUGAUCGUCCUUUCCAUGUUAGCAGUCUCCCCAAAAGGUCUACAUCGUUGAUUGGCUGCACUUCACUAUGUACUGACGUGACAGUGCGUAAUGUCAACCCUACCAUUCAAAGUCAACGUAGUGUGACAUCUGACGGUGACGCAACAAUAGCUCUUGCGGUAGAAGUCAAAUUUAGAGAUGCAAGAAGUACGACAGUGCAAGGCGAAUCUCUCUGGGAGUUGUCUGCUUGGAUUGCUCUUAAGAAAAAGAAUAAAAGUCACACCAGGAUAGGUUUCACCGAGCAAGUUCUCAAUGUUGAUCAAGCAUCGCAGUGGUACAUCAAAGGAGAUCAAUUCAUCUUUCGGGACGUC
Long non-coding RNA from Strongylocentrotus purpuratus (purple sea urchin), 376 nucleotides. RefSeq lists it as uncharacterized. Lineage: Eukaryota; Metazoa; Echinodermata; Echinoidea; Camarodonta; Strongylocentrotidae. The transcript is spliced from 3 exons. The record is from RefSeq and is a predicted model, not a curated record.